AGUCGAACGGCAGUACGGACUUCGGUCUGGUGGCGAGUGCGAACGGGUGAGUAAUGUAUCGGAACGUGCCUAGUAGCGGGGGAUAACUACGCGAGCGUAGAAGCAAUACCGCAUACGCCCUCGGGGGAAAGCGGGGACCUUCGGGCCUCUCGCACCGCUGAAGUGGCCGAUAUCGGAUUAGCUAGCUGGUGGGGUAACGGCUCACCAAGGGACGAUCCGUAGCUGGUUUGAGAGGACGACCAGCCACACUGGGAUUCGAGACACAAGCCCAGACUCCUACGGGAGGCAGCAGUGGGGAAUUUUGACAAUGGGGAAACCCUGAUCCAGCCAUCCCGCGUGUGCGAUGAAGGCCUUCGGGUUGUAAAGCACUUUUGGCAGGAGAAAAGAAACGGCAUCGAUAAUACCCCGUGCAACUGACGGUACCUGCAGAAUAAGACCGGCUAAUCACGCUGGCAGCCAUGGCCAUGUAGGGUGCAAGCGUUAACGGAACUACUGGCGUAAAGCGUGCAGUUGGAAAGAAAGAUGAAUCCCAGAGCUUAACUUUUGGAACUGCAUUUUUAACUACCGAGCUAGAGUGGCCAGAGGGAGGUGGAAUUCCGCGUGUAGCAGAAUGGUGAGAUAUGCGGAGGAACACCGAUGGCGAAGGCAGCCUCCUGGGAUAACACUGACGCUCAUGCACGAAAGCGAGCAAACAGGAUUAUGAUACCUUGUAGUAGUCCACGCUAUAAAAACGAUGUCAACUAGCUGUUGGGGCCUUCGGGCCUCGGUAGCGCAGCUAACGCGUGAAGUUGACCGCCUGGGGAGUACGGUCGCAAGAUUAAAAACUCCUAAAGGAAUUGACGGGGACCCGCACAAGCGGUGGAUGAUGUGGAUUAAUUCGAUGCAACGCGAAAACCUUACCCACCCUUGACAUGUCUGGAAUCCUGAAGAGAUUUGGGAGUGCUCGCAAGAGAACCGAACACAGGUGCUGCAUGGCUGUCGUCAGCUCGUGUCGUGAGAUGUUGGGUUAAGUCCCGCAACGAGCGCAACCCUUGUCAUUAGUUGCUACGAAAGGGCACCUAGACGAGACUGCUGGUGACAAACGCAGAGGAAGGUGGGGAUGACGUCAAGUCCUCGCUGGUCUUAUGGGUAGGGUCAGCACGGCCAUACAAUGGUCGGGACAGAGGGUCACCAAAUUCGGCGAGGGGAGCCAAUCCCAGAACCCGAUCGUAGUCCGGAUCGCAGUCUGCAACUCGACCGCGGAAGUCGGGAAUCGCUAGUAAUCGCAGAUCAAGAACGCGGUGAAUACGUUCCUGGGGUCUUGUACACACCGCCUGUCACACCAUGGGAGUGGGUUUUACCAGAAGUAGUUAGCCUAACCGUAAGGAGGGCGAUUACCGCGAUGGUAGAUUCAUGACUGGGGUGAAGUCGUAACAAGGCAA
RNAcentral lists this ribosomal RNA (1421 nucleotides) under uncultured Bordetella sp. Its description in RNAcentral is "partial 16S-23S ribosomal RNA intergenic spacer". It matches the Rfam family "Bacterial small subunit ribosomal RNA". The record is from RNAcentral. Lineage: Bacteria; Pseudomonadati; Pseudomonadota; Betaproteobacteria; Burkholderiales; Alcaligenaceae.